RNAcentral lists this long non-coding RNA (1066 nucleotides) under Equus caballus (horse). RNAcentral describes it as "lncRNA (ENSECAG00000046685.1)". The record is from RNAcentral. Lineage: Eukaryota; Metazoa; Chordata; Mammalia; Perissodactyla; Equidae.
CUGUGUCUUUUUGUUCCCGUUUCUGUGUUUCUUUUUCCUCGAGUUUUCUCCAAGUGAGUUCUCCCCACUAAAGGCCAAGAUGGCCACCAGCAACUCCAGGCUGAAGUAACUCUGGUGGAAAGAGGAUCUCUUUCCUAAAAGUUCUAUCCAAAGUCCCAGGCCUAACCCUCAUUGGCCUGAAGAAGUAAGCUGUUUAUCCUUUAACCAAUCACUAUAGCCGGAGGCAUUUGUUCCAGUGUCCGUUCCUAGAGCUGGGGAGGGGGUUAGCCCCAUGGAACCAGAUGGACUGGAAAUGGAGUUGAGGUGAUUCCUGAAGUGAAAGAGGGGCAUUGGCACAGGGCACCAGAAGCUGUCUCCUUCAAGACCCUUUGUGCCAUCACCAGCUAGUUAGUAGUGACUUGUUGGGCUCCUGCUGGCCACAGCCUCAUUUCUUUCCCCCACCUCUACCACCAGUGUUCCGAAGCUGAGUAUACCUGAGACAAUGACCCUCCCCAGCUAGUGCUAGAAAGGGAGGCAAAACUCCUUGGAAACUACUUUUCCCAGAAGGACUAAAGACAGAAAACGCUGAAAAUAAAGCUGAUGUCUCUCCUGUUCUCCACCACACCACAUUGCCAUUCUCUCUCCCUGGAGCGCAACACUGUGUCCUCCUUUCUCUUCCACCACCUCCUCUUCCUUUUCCUGGUUCAAGAUGCCUGGGAGAGUUUGAACAGGAGUCGGAAGAGCCCAGAGAAGCUGGAAACAAGGAAUUGAGAGGACAUCAGACAAUCAGAGGAAGAGCUGAGAUAGAGAGUUGCUGAAGUCACCUGCAGUCAUCAUCAAAAAGGAGGUUCCAAAGAGCGUUGAAGAUGAUGUCAGCCAGAAAUCCCCAAAUUCCAUUUUGUCCCAGGAUGACCGUGAUCGUUAAAACAAAAUAAGGAAAAAGUAUAAGGGAGGAAGGAGGUAUAGCAAACUAGAGCAGGGCGCAGACGAGGACAGAGUCUGGGAGAACAGGGCUCAGAAUGGGCCUUUACGCUUUGUUCUCUAUACUUCUGUAUUAUUUGAACUCAAGACUAUGACAAUGAAAAUG